Molecule: transfer RNA, 78 nt
Filed under: Candidatus Omnitrophica bacterium ADurb.Bin314
Lineage: Bacteria; Pseudomonadati; Candidatus Omnitrophota
Also listed under: 1 other name
Description: tRNA-Glu
Rfam family: tRNA
About the family: Transfer RNA (tRNA) molecules are approximately 80 nucleotides in length.
Source: RNAcentral
GGCGCUAUCGUCUAGCCCGAUCUAGGACGUUGCCCUCUCAAGGCAAAAACACGGGUUUAAAUCCCGUUAGCGCCACCA